UUCGCGAACACAAUUCAUAAAGUGUACGAACCUGAACCAUGCAUCAUUUUGACAGACGUGAUGCUGAGGCCAGACUGCAAGGAGUCAUCCACGCCGAUCACCAGGCGUGUUUUAACAACAGCGCUGGACACGCGUCAGGAGCGCCUGACUGGGGUGCUUUGGGCACAUACCCACGAUACUCUGUUAACGAACCGCACGCGAGUAUGGGCGUGGACGACGUGGGGUGGGAGCGACCCAGCCCUCGUGCCCAAAACCACCACAGCAAGCAUUCGAGCCAGGUGGACGACCCAGAUGGAGAACCCCUGGAGAUCGAUAGCGACGACCCGGAGCUGACCAGGAAGCGCAACGAGCUCAGAGCAAUAGAGGAGCGAAUUGUGCAGAAGAAAGUUGCCAUUGCAUUAAAAAAUGUCGAGCCAUUUGUGACAAUGACAAUUCCAGGCUUCUGUGAUCAGGAGUCCUCUACAUAUGAAGGUGAAACUCUUCGAAACAGAGUGAAUGUAAUUCUGCAGCAACGGCAAUCUCUCGGUAUUCUAUCGAAGGUCCAGUCACCAAAGAAAUCGCCAAGCCUGAGAAAAGAGAGUUUGCUGCAAGAAGACCAUCCUCUGAAAUGCAGAGUCAAAGCAUUAAUGAAGAAGAGAUGCCCCGAUCCCUGUGUUCUACGAACACCUGCAAAGGUCUUUGAUGGCGUUUCCUCAGCCAAGGAGCUGAAUAAUGCUGAUGAGGGCUUCCAGCGCUUCCUCAGCAUCCUCAACAAAGGAGUUGACAUGGACUUGCUCAGCAGGAUAGUCAAUGACGACAGCGAGGGGCUCCCGAACAUUCAUUCUGAGAGGAACAAGCCGAGCAAAAGCCAGCGAUCGAACAGCGGCACCUCCCGGCCGAGCCCCAGUCGGGACGGCAGUGGAGAGGACAGGACUGCAACGAGGAGCCGAGAAAGGUCCCACAACGAGGGAGUGUCCCUGCCCUAUGAAGACAGGAGGAAGCGUGACGGAGGAGACACCUCUUAUGGGUCCAGUAGACGGUCAAAGUCUCCUAUGUCGGAGAAGAAGAAGAAGAAAGAAGAAGAAACGAACCUAAAGUUGGACGAGCGGCAUGAACAUCUGCAGAAUGUUCUUAAAACUCUGGGCUUGGACCUAGAAGUGGAAGAGAUGAGCAAACUAACAGACCGAACUCAGGAGAGGCUGUACGGGAAGAAGCACGAAAUCAGAAAUGAGCAGGAGAGGGAGCAGAUGGCCUCCUCUUCCUCCUCGUCUUCAUCUUGCUGCUCCUCCUAUUCCUCAAGAUCAACCUCUAGAAGCUGCAGUCCCAGUCCCUCUCGCCACCGUCGCUCCCACAGCAGCGACUCCAGUGACUCCAGAGACUCCAAACCCAGGCUAAAACAAGGAGAGGGCCACCAAGGCAAAGAGCCCCCGAGGCUUGGAGACACAGAGGACAAAGCCUCUGCUUAUCCCCAUCCCUCAUAUCACGCGUAUCCCCCUCCCCAUCCCCCCCCUGGUGCUUUUUCUUCAUUUCCAGCUGCACCUUUGCCUCCGUACUCUCAGUCUACUUCUCUCCACAGUGGUGAAUGCAGCACCGGCUCACCUUCGUAUUGGACUUACAGUCAGGGAGCCCUUCCUGCUCCUUUUUAUUCCAGUGGCUUUUCUAACCCACAGAGCACCUACCAACACUUCCCCCCCACUAAGACAGUCUAUCCGCAAAACAGUAACUUUCAAGACCAUAACUUGCUGGUGAACCCAGACCUGUCUACGAGCGUAGGCCAGAGUGGGUCCACCUCUGGCGCCCGCUGCCUGCAGGCCGUCGGCAGCCGCCCGGCCUCCCAGCGGACGCCGUAUAUAACGCAGCUGACGGGCACGCGGGCGAAGCGGUACCGCCCGAGCCGCGCGCAGAGGAGAUUGGACAGUUGGAGGAGAAAACAACAACAGCUCUACGAAAACCGGAGACAGGAGCCAGUGCCCACCCUGAGAAUGCCCAAAUCAGCCCAGAAGGGUGAAGCCAAGCCGCUGGAGGAGCUUAAACAGCUAACGGAGGAGGAAAUAAAGGCGAACCUGAGGAAAAAGCUUGAGGCAUUUAACCAAAUGGCGAGGCAGAAGGUUUCUCAAGCAGCCUCGUCCCAGCUGCUAACAUCUGUGGAGUGUCAAGAUUAUCUGUGA
Betta splendens (Siamese fighting fish) is the source of this 2147-nucleotide long non-coding RNA. The record is from Ensembl. Lineage: Eukaryota; Metazoa; Chordata; Actinopteri; Anabantiformes; Osphronemidae.